AAAGCCAGGGGGUAAGUCACUGCACUUUGAACCGUUCCGUAGGUGAACCUGCGGAAGGAUCAUUA
Molecule: ribosomal RNA, 65 nt
Filed under: Botryosphaeria dothidea
Lineage: Eukaryota; Fungi; Ascomycota; Dothideomycetes; Botryosphaeriales; Botryosphaeriaceae
Description: partial 18S ribosomal RNA
Source: RNAcentral